GGAAACCGUAGCUCAGUGGUAGAGCAUCUGCUUUGCAUACAGAAGGUCUCAGGUUCAAGCUCCAGCAUCUCCA
Molecule: non-coding RNA, 73 nt
Organism: Podarcis lilfordi (Lilford's wall lizard)
Lineage: Eukaryota; Metazoa; Chordata; Lepidosauria; Squamata; Lacertidae
Source: the annotation of a GenBank genome assembly